UACGGGAGGCAGCAGUGGGGAAUAUUGCACAAUGGGCGCAAGCCUGAUGCAGCCAUGCCGCGUGUAUGAAAAAGGCCUUCGGGUUGUAAAGUACUUUCAGUCGUGAGGAAGGUGUUAAGGUUAAUAACCUUAGCAAUUGACGUUAGCGACAGAAGAAGCACCGGCUAACUCCGUGCCAGCAGCCGCGGUAAUACGGAGGGUGCGAGCGUUAAUCGGAAUUACUGGGCGUAAAGGGCACGCAGGCGGUUAAUUAAGUUGGAUGUGAAAUCCCCGGGCUUAACCUGGGAAUGGCAUUCAAGACUGGUUAGCUAGAGUCUUGUAGAGGGGGUAGAAUUCCAUGUGUAGCGGUGAAAUGCGUAGAGAUGUGGAGGAAUACCGGUGGCGAAAGGCGGCCCCUGGACAAAGACUGACGCUCAUGUGCGAAAGCGUGGGGAGCAAAACGAGGGAUUAGAUACC
Molecule: ribosomal RNA, 456 nt
Filed under: uncultured bacterium
Lineage: Bacteria
Description: bacterial SSU rRNA
Rfam family: Bacterial small subunit ribosomal RNA
Source: RNAcentral